CCAACUUCAGCUACAGUGUUAGCUAAGUUGG
Nomascus leucogenys (northern white-cheeked gibbon) is the source of this 31-nucleotide regulatory RNA element. It matches the Rfam family "Iron response element II". From Rfam's summary of the family: IRE, TFRC, SLC40A1, SDHB, SLC11A2, CDC42BPA, ACO2, ALAS2_H.SAPIENS, CDC14A, EPAS1, ALAS2, qoxD, Hao1, NDUFS1, transferrin, Aconitate. The record is from Rfam. NCBI's taxonomy places the organism in Eukaryota, Metazoa, Chordata, Mammalia, Primates, Hylobatidae.